Molecule: long non-coding RNA, 211 nt
Filed under: Apteryx owenii (little spotted kiwi)
Lineage: Eukaryota; Metazoa; Chordata; Aves; Apterygiformes; Apterygidae
Description: lncRNA (ENSAOWG00000005483.1)
Source: RNAcentral
GAUGCUGAAAUCACUGCACCUUAAAAACAAAAGGAUUAAGCUGCACUGCAUUCCUAUCUCUCCUUUAGCAGCCUUCAGAAGAUGGCAGCAAGAUAGCUGGAUCAGAAAUAGGGAGCACUUGGCAUAUCUACCUUGUUAAAGGCCAUUGGAACACUAUCUGUCUUUGCAAGAUGUUGCAGUGUCAGUGAGUAAUACUCAUGGCAUCCUUAAG